Molecule: non-coding RNA, 903 nt
Organism: Misgurnus anguillicaudatus (oriental weatherfish)
Lineage: Eukaryota; Metazoa; Chordata; Actinopteri; Cypriniformes; Cobitidae
Source: RefSeq, a predicted model, not a curated record
UAUACUUGCAGGUUGCCAUGUGCCAGCCGUGCAACUGCCAUUGAAAUGAAUGGGAAUUUUUACAGACCCAGAGACUCUACAUUUUGUGAGUCCCCCAGCAAGGCAUUCACUUCCUCCAGGAUACAUUUGUCUAUUAAUGGCAUACCUGAUGGCUGGCUUGAGUUCCUCUAGCCUGAACCGUGGCUAGCCUGUCAUAAUAGCGUGAGAUGGGGUUGUCGUGCUCGAUGCCUUUCUUAGCACACCGCUGCUUGUAGAUCUCCACCAGAGACAAUGACGAUGGAUUGUCCUCAACUAACCGCAUCUGAGGAGACACCGCCACCACCCUCGGGACUAGAAAGAGAACAGGAGAAAUACAAUUUAGAUCUUCCACCCUCCAUCUCCACAGGGAACUCGGAGCAGAACGGCAACCUCAUUUUUAUUCAUUCUGCUCCUGUCCCCUCUUUCCUCCUCUGUUAACACUAUACAGCUUUUUUCUGCUACUUUUCACCUCAAUCUCGCCUACUUCUCUCUCCUCUGUUCUUCAUCUCCUUCAAUCUCUCAGAGAAUAACUAGGCUAUUCAGUCUAGUUCUGAGAGUUAAUGGUUGACAUUCCUACUUAUAAAAAUAAUAAAUGUAAGCAUUGAUCUUAACAUGUGCAUUGCCCUUUUAUUAAAUGAGCAGCUCAGAUUCAAAAGCCUCUAAACGUCACCUGCUUCAAAAAUAAGAUAAUGAUAUUAAAAAUGAGUUACCGCCAAAUCAGUAUUGUAUCUGGUGUGUUUUAAAAUGUAAAUUUUACACAAAAUCUGAUAUCUGCCAUCUUAUUCCGUAAUUUUUUCUCCCUUUUUGCCAAAACGCGAUAAACGCCAGUCCUCUGCAGAAUGCAAUAAAUCCACUUAACCAAUCACAGUCCACCAUUCCACGCAU